This 740-nucleotide long non-coding RNA is filed under the name Zostera marina. Its description in RNAcentral is "long non-coding RNA (ZMAR_LNC001621)". The record is from RNAcentral. Lineage: Eukaryota; Viridiplantae; Streptophyta; Magnoliopsida; Alismatales; Zosteraceae.
GUACUUGUAAGGUAUGGGAGAAUUGAUUUUCAGAAAUUUAGCUGCGCAUUCAUUUAUGAUUUAACCAACCAAUUAGUUUUCAAAAACAAUACUAAUUCUGUGUUAAUAACAUGUUGAUUCUUUUUCUUAAUCAGAAACCAUUUGCUUUUUAAAGAUGGGCUAUAUGCUGUGAUUAAAACAUAAAAGCAACAGUGCUGGUCAUCUGUGGGUGUGUGUUCAUGCUUGCAUGUUCUAAACAUGUACAUCAACACUUUGAAUGUUUGGUAAAGAGAAAAAGGGGGAAAGAAAAGAAAGGAAAUGAAGAUAGAUGCAAACAAAAGCCACAUGGAGAAUCCAUUGUGGUAAGUAUACAAAUUCUUGAUAUUAUUUCUCUAAUUAAAAAUAUUCCAUACAUUAAGACACAGGAAAAAAGUCACACGCUUUCUUCCCUUAAAGAAAUGUUUUCUUAAAGAUCUCACAUGGAAAUUCAAAUACAGUAAGGAGACAAACUCUUGGUAUUAUCUCUAUAGUUAAAAUUAUAAUAUGCACAGAAAAAGCCACAAUCUUUUCCCCUUAGUUUUAAAUAAAUAUUAUCUUAAAAAUCUCAUAUGGUAAUAUGGCAUUCUCAGUUGAGAUCUAGAGAACUUAGGUUAUGAAACCACUUGAUUUAUCCUAUUUCCUUUAAUAAUUGGGGUUUCUUUUUUCUUCUGCAGAAAUUUAGUCAUGAACUCAUGAUAUUGGAACAAAGAAAUUUAAUGAAG